CCUACGGGUGGCAGCAGUGAGGAAUAUUGGUCAAUGGCCGCAAUGCUGAACCAGCCAAGUCGCGUGCAGGAUGACGGCCCUACGGAUUGUAAACCGCUUUUGUCCGGGAGCAAAGUGCUCCACGUGUGGCGUUUUGCGAGUACGUGACGAAUAAGGAUCGGCUAACUCCGUGCCAGCAGCCGCGGUAAUACGGAGGAUCCGAGCGUUAUCCGGAUUUAUUGGGUUUAAAGGGUGCGCAGGUGGUUUUAUAAGUUAGCGGUGAAAUACCGAUGCUCAACCUCGGUGGUGCCGUUGAUACUGUAGUACUAGAGUUCGCAUGAAGCAGGCGGAAUGUGUGGUGUAGCGGUGAAAUGCAUAGAUAUUACGCAGAACACCGAUUGCGAAGGCAGCUUGCUGGGGCUCAACUGACGCUGAUGCACGAAAGCGUGGGUAUCGAACAGGAUUAGAUAACCUUGUAGUC
RNAcentral lists this ribosomal RNA (460 nucleotides) under uncultured bacterium. Its description in RNAcentral is "partial 16S ribosomal RNA". It matches the Rfam family "Bacterial small subunit ribosomal RNA", at positions 338 to 795 of the family's 1533-position model. The record is from RNAcentral.